UGUUCAAUUACAAAUACAUUGAAUCGAUUGCUGUCAGUGUAAACUCAAUAGUUCUGAGAAGAGAUUCUCAAUCAGUUCAGUUGACAUAAACUAGAUACUUGUAGAUCUAACCAUUUCUGAGAUUGUUUUGCUUGUAUCGUUCAAGAAAACCAACAAAACAAAAACAGUUACAUUAGAUAACAAUGUUUCAUCACAUAACCUCCUGAAUCUUAUCCAUUAAUCACAAUUAACCAGCUUCUCAUCAUCAAAUUGAAUUGAUUUUGCAUUCUGUUGCAAUGAUUAAGUCAUUAAACUAUUUAACCUAAAGUCAAACCAUGUUAAUAUGGACAUAUCUUCACCUCUCAAUUCAAGGCAGACAUUCACAAUUCCUCUUGAUUAAUUUGGGAAUUUUUGAUUCUUAGUUCCUUGGAAUCUUACAAGGCCAAUGCCAGGUUCAAUAUUGAAUGGUAAAACAAUAAAUCUCAGAUUUAAAAUCUCUGUUUAUAACCUCAAACUGACUGGUCGUUCAUAUUUCAAUACCUGGGUUUUGUUUCAUCAAAAUUUAACCUCAUUUUCACUUUUUUUCAUUCUAAAAUCGAGAUCUUUAACCUUUUUCAAUUAAAGUUGAACACAAAAACAAACACUCAACAGUCAUCAACCUUAACUCUGGUCAUUGAUCAAGAUGGAAACGCGUUGUAAACAUUGACAAAAAAAAUCCUGAUUCCUGUUUUGAUGUAAAUUCCCUCAGAUUGGCUUGUAAUUUCACUAGUUAUUUCAUUUGUUGAUUUAACUGUGAUCACUUGAUUCAUCACAAUUAUCAAGAAAUGGUUAGUUCAAUGUGCAACCAGUCAAAGUGUCGAGCUGAUAAGUUGACUGAUUCUUUGAUUACAGCAUUACAUUAAGGUAUACAUUACCAGUUUUUGAAAAGUGUAAACUCAUCUUUAUUUACCCUUAAAUGACUUAAUAUGGUUACAUUUUUUAAUUUUUGAUUUAAUUUCAUCGAUUUAUUGCAGUGCUUAUAUCGAUUAUCAAUUUAUAAACAGCAAUAUAAUCUGAAAACAAAGCAUUAAACAGAAACAUCAGGCAACAACUACAACAAAACAAACCAAUCUUUCGACUAAUCAUCAUCAUUGAAUAAUACUGUGAAUUGUAUAACUUGAUGCUCAUGUGGAUUGGGUCUUGAUUUUUCUCGAAUCGAACUGGAUUAGACUUGAAUUGGAGAGUAAUUUAAUUUAUUCAUUCAUUCCCUUUCUUACCAUUAAGAUGAAGAAACCAUUUCCAAGCUUGAUUCCUAUCUAAUGUCUAAUGUAUUUCUCAUGUUUCCUUUCUCGACUUCAAGUUGCUCAUCUAUGAAACAAUCAACUUACCAAUAUAAUUACCAUUCAUAAUUGUUAUGAAAUGGAAUUGUAAAUAACUUAGAUUAAUGAUGAUUAUAUCAUAAUGAUUUAACAUAAAUUCUGUAUUCAAAUUGAGCGAACCCAGAAAGCCGAUUCUCUAGAUAUUCACAUUUCAAGACUUCUUAUUGAAACAAUUUCAUCCUUUUAUUGGCAUUUUCACUUUUUCAUUAAGUAGUAUUUGAUUUUAAAUUUUCACAAUGAUAGCUGAUUUUGAUUGCUUUAUGGUUAACAACAGCAAAUUUGAUUUACCUCGAUUAGACUGGUUAAAACCAGGAAUAAAAAUAUCUUGAUGGAUCAUCUUUAACAGUAAUUAUGUUAUAAGUUACAUCUUAAUGGUAAAGUAAAUAGCAAGCAAUACUAGUCAAUUGUGAUUAUCAUUUGAUGAUAAAUAAUAAACGGUUAACUUUGCUUGUUGUUGUUUUGUUACUUUCAAUUUCACACUCUUUAAUACGUUUAAAAGCCUCGACAAUCUUUGAUAUUACAAAGACAAUUUGAUCAACUUUGGAUGCUUUUAUUAUCAUAUUAAAUUCAGGCUAGUUAAAGCCACAACUAAAAGGUUAAAUAUGGAAAAUGAAAAUACAUUUUCAAUUUGAUUACUAAAUAAACCGAUAACCUAAUUAAAUAUUGAUUACAUUUAUCAGCUUAAUCAAACAAAAAGACGGGGAUGCAUGAAAGAGUCAAUAAUAAAGUAAAUUAUAAUGAAAUGUUGAUUAUUUGUUGAUGAAGGUACGCUUAUUUACACAUUUUUUUGUUAACCUGCCAACCCUUUCUUUAUGUUCAUUUGUUAACUUGAUUAAAAGAUUUUUUCCUUCAUUGAUUUGAUCUUGAAAAAGUUUACUUCUUUGCAGGUUACCACGUAUUAGAUCCGUUAACUUGUCAAACAGCUGUAAAUGAGAGUCGAUGAAAUUUCGCUGUGAGUUAAAAAAAUUUUGACCCAACAUAUUAAUUUUUGUAUGAAGAUUCUGAUCACUUUUAUCAAAACAGUCUGAAAAUGUUCUUAAACGGCUAUAAAGUUGAGCCUCUUCUUCAUCUGCGUCUUCAAUAUGAGUAACGAGAUGUUGUACUUUCCAACCAUUCUUUCUUUGUAAACCUUCAUUGGAUAGUUCACUAAGAGUUGUCUUUUUGUCGGGUUUUUGUUUCACAUCUGAAUAUCUUAGAAAAUGAUAUUGCAAUGAUUUCCAAGGUACAUUAUAUGAGUUAAGGAUGGAUGGACGAGGUUUCUUGUGAAUGGUGAUCACACCUCCAGGUGCAGCGUCUUUAUUGAUAUUAUUAGAGGUGGGGAUGGUACUGUUAAUAUUACUUGUACCACUUGUUGUUGUUGUAUCUUCAUUGGUG
Tetranychus urticae (two-spotted spider mite) is the source of this 2711-nucleotide long non-coding RNA. RefSeq lists it as uncharacterized. The record is from RefSeq and is a predicted model, not a curated record. NCBI's taxonomy places the organism in Eukaryota, Metazoa, Arthropoda, Arachnida, Trombidiformes, Tetranychidae.